Non-coding RNA from Salmo salar (Atlantic salmon), 1670 nucleotides. NCBI's taxonomy places the organism in Eukaryota, Metazoa, Chordata, Actinopteri, Salmoniformes, Salmonidae. The record is from RefSeq and is a predicted model, not a curated record.
UCUAGCAACUUACCAAACGACAUUAUACCGUAGAAGAAGAAGACUCGCCGUCUGUUGGAGUGAUCCAUUUUCGUGAACAGGUUGAUGAACAAAAUAAACCGGCCUGGACACUGGGUGUAUGUAAUAGCCUAAACAUUACGACACUUCUAGUCAAUCAAACAAGCCUCACGUAAAUCGACAAACUCUCAUACACCUCCAUACAAAAAAAGGGUUUAACUCACGUGGACACAUUUUGGGCGGAGUAAAUCCUCUCGCUUCGCCUCUUCAUCUGAUUACCUUGAAAACAACGGUCGGACAUCUUGGACGCAGUGUCCAAUUCUUGAAUUUAUACCAGUGGUCGAGUCAGUAGCUAGUGCUUUGAAAACUUCAUUGGAGUAUCGGCGCUCCGGUAUCACGAGUCCCAUCACAAAGCCUCUAGCGCGACCGAACAAAGCACAUACUAUAACAUAUAUUUAGGUACUUCCUAGCUACUGUAGUUAGCAACAACAAUGAGAAACUGCUGUGCGGUGAACUGUGCUAAUAGAGGUGGUCAAGGAUGGAGAUUAUUCACUAUACCAAGAGGAUCUCACCCCUUCCAAAAGAAUAGAAGACGGUUGUGGCUGCAAGCCAUAAAACGAGUGGAUUGGGUCCUGAUGGUCUGAGGGGUGAUUAUAGCUUGUGUGGAGCUCAUUUCAUCUCUGGAGAACCUUCUAUGGACUACGACAGCCCCGAUUUUGUUCCAUCAAUAUUUCCCCAAGGCAAACAGACAAGAAACUCAAGAAAGACAAGAUGCAGUAAAGCACAGUCUAACGGCAGUGCUGUUGCCAUGGCAAGCCCAGACACAGAGGUCGAUGACCUUCCUGACUGUUCUGAAGGUACACAGUUAUGUUAACACUUAGGCUUUGACAUUGUAAGGCAUUACUGCUGAGCGAUUAACCAAAAUGUCAGUUAUUUUUCGUUUUUUAAACAACUAAUUGACAGAUGUCGGUUAAAUAAUUUUAAUUCCAUUUCGUUCAGUUUUUUUUCCUGUGAGCUCAAUGCGCACAUCACACAGUUUCUUUAGAGAUAAAUAAGAUCAAGCCUGAACUUCACAAUGUAGUAGGGAGUUGUAGUUUCCAACAGGCCAACAUUCUACAUAGUUUAGCGCAUAAAACAUGGUAGUUGACUACAAUGACCAUAAUCCAUUGCGCAUCUACUCGUCCAGUCUGUUUCUUUUAUAACUGCUACUACGGAAUAGAGAAGAGUGCAAAGUGCGUGAUGUGAGGAGAUUACAGAGAGCAGCUGUUGCUCUACCUGAAAAUACAUGAUCUAAGUGAUUGAUAGUUGGUAUUCAGCAGUCCUAAAAGUAUGCCUUCAUUUUGUAGUUCUACAAAGUAAAUGUUAUUUUGUCAAGACAGCAUAGGCAGCAGCUCUAUAGAGAUGAGAUGAUGACUUGGAAUAAAAUGAUAGUAAUUAAAUAAAACAAAUGUAAUAUACACAACAAGGAACACCUAGGUCCUGGAGAACAGGAGCAGAGUUAAAGGGAACAGGGUAGGAGACAGAGACGUAAACAAGCAAACACACAUCACUCACCCUCCCCCGUAAAGAUGUUCAUGUUCACAAGCAAUCUUUCAUAAUUUCAUAUCACUGUCAUUUGUCUGUAAAAACAAAGUUGAGCAAAUAAAGUUGUUGCUGUCACCCUGCGAAAACUA